GACGAACGCUGGCGGCGUGCCUAAUACAUGCAAGUAGAACGCUGAAGGAGGAGCUUGCUUCUCCGGAUGAGUUGCGAACGGGUGAGUAACGCGUAGGUAACCUGCCUGGUAGCGGGGGAUAACUAUUGGAAACGAUAGCUAAUACCGCAUAACAGUAGAUAUUGCAUGAUAUCUGCUUGAAAGGUGCAAUUGCAUCACUACCAGAUGGACCUGCGUUGUAUUAGCUAGUUGGUGAGGUAACGGCUCACCAAGGCGACGAUACAUAGCCGACCUGAGAGGGGGGUCGGCCACACUGGGACUGAGGCACGGCCCAGACUCCUACGGGAGGCAGCAGUAGGGAAUCUUCGGCAAUGGACGGAAGUCUGACCGAGCAACGCCGCGUGAGUGAAGAAGGUUUUCGGAUCGUAAAGCUCUGUUGUAAGAGAAGAACGAGUGUGAGAGUGGAAAGUUCACACUGUGACGGUAUCUUACCAGAAAGGGACGGCUAACUACGUG
This 495-nucleotide ribosomal RNA is filed under the name uncultured bacterium. Its description in RNAcentral is "partial 16S ribosomal RNA". It matches the Rfam family "Bacterial small subunit ribosomal RNA", at positions 28 to 507 of the family's 1533-position model. The record is from RNAcentral.